This 65-nucleotide transfer RNA is filed under the name Pinus taeda (loblolly pine). RNAcentral's name for it is "tRNA-Arg". The record is from RNAcentral. Lineage: Eukaryota; Viridiplantae; Streptophyta; Pinopsida; Pinales; Pinaceae.
GCAAGGUGCGAAGCCGCUUGUCCCUCCGGGGGGCAAGGCCUCCGUUCCUCAUUUCGAGCUUUGCA